UACGACCGCAUCACGUUGAAAAACCGGUUCCUGUACGAUCACGGAAGUUAAGCAAUAUCUAGCCUGGCCAAUACCUAGAUGGGUAACCGUUUGGGAAUACCACGUGUUGCAA
Acanthosepion pharaonis is the source of this 112-nucleotide non-coding RNA. NCBI's taxonomy places the organism in Eukaryota, Metazoa, Mollusca, Cephalopoda, Sepiida, Sepiidae. The record is from the annotation of a GenBank genome assembly.